CCCGGGGCGCCCAGGUGUGGUGAGGUACUCGUCACUGAAGCCGCGGGGCAGGCCGAAGACAAAACUGGUAUUGCUCCGCUAGGGUUACCAGAACUCCCGAACACUUUUCUUUGUUCUAGUACCUGGCUGUCAAGUGUGGAUUAAAUGCUGACUACUUCGUCAGAGUUGGUGAAGCCCCACCGACUACCCGGAGCUCCUUUAGGGCGGGCAGUGCCCGAGUCCUUUAGAGUCUCGGGGCCGGACUGUAGUGGAUGUUCCAUAAAUGUUUGUGAACAUCUGGAGCGCCGUGUCCCGUGGGGGCCCUCGACGUGAGGGACAGAGACAACGAAGCCUCUUUCAGACCUCACUCCAAAUGAUCACCGGGAGACGUGAGGGGUGUUUAGCUCAGAGAAGAGGUAGCAAAAGGCUGGGGACCCCGGGCCCUUUGAGCUUGCAGCCAGCAAAACCUGUCAUGUGACAGCUGCUACGGGACCCCUUCCCCACCCUGCACUUUUGAGGUUGACUUUAAAACUUGUAUAUGUUUUUUUCCUGGGAAAGUGAGUGUGAUAAAUAAUAGGAAACUGCAAGGAAGAGUGACGUUCUCUCCAAAAUCUUGGAAAUAAGGUGAGCAAAUAAACUGAAUCCUCCGUAGAACCAAAUGAAGACUGUCAGUAAAAUGUGUCUCAUACUGAAAAGAACAGUUCCAACCAGUCCUGUGGCUUGGAUGCCUAAGUCCAAGAGGGCUUAUUUGGAAUGUGACUGUGAUUAAGAACGCUUCAAUCUAAUUAAUUGACAGCCUGAAGAGAAUGUGGGAGACGGGCAACCAGGGACCUGGAAAGAGUCACCAGGCAGCAAGGGUCCUAGUGGGCAUAAGUAUUUCAGUAACUAGAGAUAUGCGUUCUCAUGAGGUUCUGGUCUCACCAGGACCCAGAGGAACUAUCCCUUAGCUCCUAUUCCAUAUUCAUUAUGCAGUCUUCUGAUUGUUAUUUGGUUUCUGAAUGGCUUUUCCUUUAAGAGAGAAUGCUCAUAACUAUUCCUGUCCACUCGGUGUUUAUAUUGGUUUAUGCAUUCACCUCUUGUGAGGUUGGUUCCCUUGAAUCAAAUCAGUCACCAGGAGCGGUGAUCAUACCAAGUUGCUGAGUUUGCAAAGCUGACAGACUCUAGGCUGUGGUUACCCGGCUCACUUCAUCCCAACAGUCCCUCUCCUGGAGCAGCCUACAUUUCUAGAGGGCACUGUUCACGUGGCCAGCAAGCAUUCUUGGACUUCUCACCUUCUGUUUUCUGUAACUGCAGCAGGUAACAGGGUGGAGCAGACAGUUGGGUCUGGGCAAGGCCUAGGACUUGGCCUUUGGCUAGAGAAGGAAGCUACCCCCAUGCCCCCCACACCCCCGGAAGAUAUCCCCAUCCAUCUUGGAAGAAAAGAGCGUAGUGAGUCUUCGAGAAGUCUGCAGAGCUGGACGGUCAGUGACAUGAAGGAAUGACAUCAAGACCAACAGAGGAAAGGAGAGGGGUCCUUGAGAGGGACCUGGCCUGAGGGGAGGGGAGUCUGAGAUGGUGACCCAACACCCCUGGGCACGUUUGGUGACAGUCGGUGUGCUGGGCCCAGUGUGAGGCUGCGCUAGAACCCUGCGACCCAGGUCCUCCGGGUGUUGCUUUGGGGAAAGCAGCUCCCUGUGUGGACUGAAAGAGCUGCGACCUGGGGCCCGUUUUGCUAUGAGAUUCCCCCAACCGAACAAAGUGAAGGAAGGAAGCUCCUCCCUCAGAAACCACGCGGAGCGACGUGAGGUGGUCCAGCAGUGACUCUGAUGCCUUUGCCCACCCCGUCCGUCCCUCACCCCACAAUGAGCUUCCAUUCGCCUUCUGCUCUUGGACAAGUAGAACUUGUCUUUUUUCUUGGGGAAGGACCACUUUCAGAGGCUAGGGUUGGGGACAGGGCCGUUUGAUAGAUAUUAAGGGUGCAAAGGUUGUGCUGACCCGAGGAAGGAACAAGAGGGAUUGGUAAUCCCAAGUCAACUGUAAGACCCUCCCCUGUGCUCAGAGCUGCCUUAGUGUAAGGACUGGGGUGGAGAGAAUACUAAAAAUAUCCACGUGGUUCCUACCCUCGGGGUCUUCAAAAGUACUUGGAGAGAAAGAAUAAACACUUGAGAGAUAGCUGUUGGGUCAAAAUUAUAAAAUGCCAGCAUGUGACAGAGAACGUGCUAAAUGCUAGAGGCAUUCGGAGAGGAGAGAGCCCUGGGGGCUGGCGUGUGCUUGCAAAAGGGUCCUGGGGGAAUGGCAGUCAAGCUGGAGCCUGAAGAUUGGGAGGAUUCUGCUGGGUGAGGGGGGUCGGAGGGAGAGGGGAUGCCAGCGACAAGGCACAGGAGCAGGAAGGACUCAGCGUUGUCACCAGGUGGGCUGCUGGUCCCACUGGGAGGGUAGGAAACACGAGAAGCCGGAGAAUGAGGCUUUCUCAGGGGAUAAAGUUCCCGGCCAUGGAGGUGGGGAAUUUGAGCCAGAGGGAGGGUCUGCUGUGUGUUGGGAGACAGUUCUCCACAGACCUCUCCCAUUUCUACACAUCCGAGCAUCAGAAGCUCACCUCUGUCCGAGAGCGUUGCUGUAAGCAGGUCGCCUGGGACGGCUCCAGACGUGACUUCCUCUGGAGCAGGUGUAUUUAUGCUACAGGAUGGUGAAGGGUCAGCUCUCUCCCUCCCCUCCCUGGAGCUGACUGUCUACCUUCCAGGAAGACAUGUGUCCGGCCUGUGGUUUGUCUCCGAGCUCUCCUCUGGCCACUUCUGCCCAUCCCAGGCGCGCGGGGCCAGGCCGGCGGCUUGCUUCAGAGACAAAGUCUGCUACUCCAGAGAAACUUCCAGGCUCCCUGAAAAGGAGAAAGCCGGUGUGGUCAUAUACUGAGCGUGAACAGACUGAGUGCUUACAGCGUCUGACGCUCUGCCGCACGCUUUGUGCGCAUCACCUUGUUUGAUGUUUAAUACCUUCACAACCCUGUGCAGUAUGUUUUUUUCUCAAGGGUCUGCGGGCCGGCGCCCGGAGCCCGGGUUCUAGGAGCAAGAGGCUUUGGACCGAGUCACACCAGGAGAGCCAGCUGUUUGGCAUUGUGGGACCGAAGCAGAGAACAUGCUGGGCUUCCGUGCAGAAACCUUUGGUGAUGAAGCUGGCUCUCAGAGAAGGAGGUGGCUGGGCCAGAACCCCACGUCGGCUGAGCAGGGAGCCCAGAACCUAAGCCUGUCGGCCGCCCAGGGAGCCCGAGCUUGAGCCGUGAAGCCAGCCUCCCUGUUGUGCUCCCCGCGGCCCCUGCACUUCUCGUUUGAGGCAUUU
Molecule: long non-coding RNA, 3291 nt
Organism: Mesoplodon densirostris (Blainville's beaked whale)
Lineage: Eukaryota; Metazoa; Chordata; Mammalia; Artiodactyla; Ziphiidae
Exons: 4
Source: RefSeq, a predicted model, not a curated record